GGGGAAGGAUGAGAAGCUUCGACUAAGGUUCGACUUGAGCGCCAGCGAGAGAGCGUUGCCGCAGGCAACGACCCGAAGGGCGAAGCGCGCAGCGCUGAGUAAUCCUUCCCCCACCACCA
Molecule: small RNA, 119 nt
Filed under: Escherichia coli
Lineage: Bacteria; Pseudomonadati; Pseudomonadota; Gammaproteobacteria; Enterobacterales; Enterobacteriaceae
Description: RtT sRNA
Rfam family: RtT RNA
About the family: This family represents a bacterial cis-regulatory element known as RtT RNA. The exact function of RtT is unknown although it is thought that it may be involved in changing the cellular response in relation to amino acid starvation.
Source: RNAcentral